GAAUCAUGUGAUGAGAAAAAACUGCAACAAUAUGAUGGAUUCGUUCCAUGAUUCUUAGUAUUUAAGUCUCUGAUGAUCAUUCACUAUUUUUCUUUCGAUAUGGUUCAUGAUUUAUUUUUCUUUUUUCAUAGAUUUUUCGUUUAAUUUGAAAAUAAAGAGAUAUGAUGAUGUUUACAUUGGUCCGUGUUUCUGAUUUACUGUGACCGACAACCUUUUCCAAUUUCUGAUCUCUGUUUCAAACAAUUUUUCAUAUUUUUUUGUUUAUGUUUGAGAUUAUGUGUUUCUGAAAUUAUAUGUAUAAUUGGCUCUGUGAUAUUCUGCCUUUGUUGCAGUAUACGCUAUUCUGAUUCAAAUUAUGAGCAGAUAUUUUAUUACUAUUGAGAGCUUAAACAUUUCAUUUGAUUUUUAAUUAUGAGUUUGUAUUGCUGUGAUGAAUUAAGAAAAAUUUCACAUGUCAGACUUCAGAGAUUUUUAUAAUCAAUGAGAAUGACAAUUCUUAAUUUCUGAGCUGGAU
This 514-nucleotide long non-coding RNA is filed under the name Medicago truncatula (barrel medic). RNAcentral describes it as "lncRNA gene34203". The stretch from base 420 to 514 matches the Rfam family "Small nucleolar RNA R64/Z200 family". Lineage: Eukaryota; Viridiplantae; Streptophyta; Magnoliopsida; Fabales; Fabaceae. The record is from RNAcentral.